CCUACGGGAGGCUGCAGUAGGGAAUCUUCCACAAUGGGCGAAAGCCUGAUGGAGCAACGCCGCGUGGGUGAAGAAGGUCUUCGGAUCGUAAAACCCUGUUGUUAGAGAAGAAAGUGCGUGAGAGUAACUGUUCACGUUUCGACGGUAUCUAACCAGAAAGCCACGGCUAACUACGUGCCAGCAGCCGCGGUAAUACGUAGGUGGCAAGCGUUAUCCGGAUUUAUUGGGCGUAAAGGGAACGCAGGCGGUCUUUUAAGUCUGAUGUGAAAGCCUUCGGCUUAACCGGAGUAGUGCAUUGGAAACGGGGAGACUUGAGUGCAGAAGAGGAGAGGGGAACUCCAUGUGUAGGGGUGAAAGGCGGAGAUAUAUGGAAGAACACCAGUGGCGAAAGCGGCUCUCUGGUCUGUAACUGACGCUGAGGUUCGAAAGCGUGGGUAGCAAACAGGAUUAGAUACCCCAGUAGUC
RNAcentral lists this ribosomal RNA (465 nucleotides) under uncultured bacterium. Its description in RNAcentral is "partial 16S ribosomal RNA". It matches the Rfam family "Bacterial small subunit ribosomal RNA", at positions 338 to 795 of the family's 1533-position model. The record is from RNAcentral.